RNAcentral lists this ribosomal RNA (63 nucleotides) under Cladosporium tenuissimum. RNAcentral describes it as "partial 18S ribosomal RNA". It matches the Rfam family "Eukaryotic small subunit ribosomal RNA", at positions 1768 to 1830 of the family's 1831-position model. The record is from RNAcentral. Lineage: Eukaryota; Fungi; Ascomycota; Dothideomycetes; Cladosporiales; Cladosporiaceae.
GUCAUUUAGAGGAAGUAAAAGUCGUAACAAGGUCUCCGUAGGUGAACCUGCGGAGGGAUCAUU